RNAcentral lists this small nucleolar RNA (106 nucleotides) under Callithrix jacchus (white-tufted-ear marmoset). RNAcentral describes it as "Small nucleolar RNA SNORA70 (ENSCJAG00000062342.2)". It matches the Rfam family "Small nucleolar RNA SNORA70". From Rfam's summary of the family: snoRNA U70 seems to be exclusive to mammals and is a member of the H/ACA class of snoRNA which contain H (ANANNA) and ACA box motifs. Lineage: Eukaryota; Metazoa; Chordata; Mammalia; Primates; Cebidae. The record is from Rfam by way of RNAcentral.
UUGAUAAAGGAUAAAAAAAAAAAAAAGAAAUAGCAAUGGCUGCAAACAGCAGCUUCCUUGGUAGUGUUCUUUGUAUGGGUUGCUCUAAGGGACCUUGGAGACAGGC